Molecule: ribosomal RNA, 684 nt
Filed under: Triticum aestivum (bread wheat)
Lineage: Eukaryota; Viridiplantae; Streptophyta; Magnoliopsida; Poales; Poaceae
Description: partial small subunit ribosomal RNA
Source: RNAcentral
AUGUCAAAGUAUUGGUGGGCAGGAUCACUUGAUAAGAGAGGUUUACACUGGAAAUCGUCGGAAGGAAUGUCGGUUUCCAAGUAUAGAGGAGGCAUGUGUUUCAGAGACUUACAGUUAUUCAACGAUGCUAUGCUUGCAAAGCAGGGAUGGAGACUAGAGAACAUGCCAGAGAGCCUUUGUGCUAGCGUCCUAAGGGGACGAUAUUUUCCUGAUGGGAUUUUUUUGCAGGCUCCAUGCCCUAAUGGGUCAUCGGCCACAUGGAAGGCCAUCAUCCAAGGAAGAAGAGUGCUUAAGCAAGGCUUAAUACGCAGGAUAGGAGAUGGUCACACUUCUGAAAUUUGGCAUGAAAAUUGGAUAUCAGGUACUAUAUCAAUGAAACCAGUAUGUCGGUUAAGUGACGAACUAGUUCAGUUUGUGGCAGGUUUGCUUGAUGAAGAGUCAGGGAGAUGGAAUGAAGAACUUAUUCGAAGAUUGUUUAUUGCACCUGAUGCUGAUUCAAUCCUGAAGAUGCCACGUCCAAGAUUGCAGAUGAGUGACUUUUGGGCCUGGGAGGGUGAGCAAUCUGGCAUAUUUAUAGUCUGGUCGGCGUAUAGGGCAUUGAUGGAACGUAAACUUGCAAACCAGCCAAGUCCGAGUACUUCCGGUUCAGCCAAAAAUCCGUGUGUUCUGGUGGAGAGUUCUUAA